GCCGGGGUGGCGAAACUGGUGAUACGCGCCCGACUUAAAAUCGGGUGUCCCCUCAGCGGGGCGUACGGGUUCGAAUCCCGUCCCCGGCA
RNAcentral lists this transfer RNA (89 nucleotides) under Actinomycetes bacterium. Its description in RNAcentral is "Actinobacteria bacterium tRNA-Leu". It matches the Rfam family "tRNA". Rfam says of the family: Transfer RNA (tRNA) molecules are approximately 80 nucleotides in length. Lineage: Bacteria; Bacillati; Actinomycetota; Actinomycetes. The record is from RNAcentral.